AUGCUAACGGAAUCGGUGCAGCCAGCUGGUUUCUUCACGCAUCGCGCCAACAGAAACAAACAUCUUUCUGGUAAGAAUGGGGGCGGGGGCGUAUGCCUUAUGAUUAACGAGAUGUGGUAUGACCACAACAACAUACAGGAACUCAAGUCCUUCUGUUCACCUGACUUAGAAUUCCUCACAAUCAAAUGUCGUCCGCAUUAUCUACCAAGGGAAUUCUCUUCGAUUAAAAUCACAGUCGUAUAUAUUCCCGCCCAAGCAGACACAUCGAUGGCCCUGAACAAACUUUAUUUGACUCUUUGCAAACUGGAAACCACAUAUCCUGAGGCUGCAUUCAUUGUAGCUGGGGAUUUUAACAAGGCUAAUCUGAAAACAAGACUCCCUAAAUUGUAUCAGCAUAUCGAUUGCGCAACCAGGGCUGGUAAAACCUUGGAUCAUUGCUAUUCUAUCUUCCGCAACGCAGAUAAGGCCCUCCCCCACCCUCCUUUCGGAAAAGCUGACCACAACUCAAUUUUGUUGCUUCCUGCCUACAGACAGAAACUAAAACAAGAAGCUCCCGCGCUCAGGUCUGUUCAACGCUGGUCCGACCAAUCUGAUUCCACGCUUCAAGACUGCUUCGAUCACGUGGAUUGGGAUAUGUUCCGCAUUGCGUCCAACAACAACAUUGACGAAUACGCUGAUUCGGUGAGCGAGUUCAUUAGAAAGUGCAUUGAUGAUGUCGUUCCCAUAGCAACAAUUAAAACAUUCCCAAACCAGAAACCGUGGAUUGAUGGCAGCAUUCGCGUGAAACUGAAAGCGCGAACCACUGCUUUUAACCAGGGAAAGGUGACCGGAAACAUGACCGAAUACAAACAGUGUAGCUAUUCCCCCCGCAAGGCAAUCAAACAAGCUAAGCGUCAGUAUAGAGACAAAGUAGAGUCACAAUUCAACGGCUCAGACACAAAAGGUAUGUGGCAGGGUCUACAGUCAAUCCCGGAUUACAAAAAGAAAAACCAGCCCCGUCACGGACCAGUAUGUCUUGCUCCCAGGCAGACUAAAUAA
Molecule: long non-coding RNA, 1038 nt
Filed under: Oncorhynchus mykiss (rainbow trout)
Lineage: Eukaryota; Metazoa; Chordata; Actinopteri; Salmoniformes; Salmonidae
Description: lncRNA (ENSOMYG00000060059.1)
Source: RNAcentral